GAUGAAGAACGUAGUGAAAUGCGAUACGUAAUGUGAAUUGCAAAUUCAGUGAAUCAUCGAGUCUUUGAACGCACAUUGCGCCCCCUGGUAUUCCGGGGGGCAUGCCUGUCAGAGCGUCAUUGCUGCCCUCAAGCACGGCUUGUGUGUUGGGCCCCGUCCUCCGAUCCCGGGGGACGGGCCCGAAAGGCAGCGGCGGCACCGCGUCCGGUCCUCGAGCGUAUGGGGCUUUGUCACCCGCUCUGUAGGCCCGGCCGGCGCUUGCCGAUCAACCCAAAUUUUUAUCCAGGUUGACCUCGGAUCAGGUAGGGAUACCCGCUGAACUUAAGCAUAUCAAUAAGCGGAGGA
Molecule: unclassified non-coding RNA, 345 nt
Filed under: soil metagenome
Description: partial contains 5.8S ribosomal RNA, internal transcribed spacer 2, and large subunit ribosomal RNA
Rfam family: 5.8S ribosomal RNA (bases 1-119)
Source: RNAcentral